GCAUAGACAUUGUAGUGAAGACAAGAGAUAGAAAGAGACGAACUUGUUCAACGUUGUGGUCAGCAGCAUUGUAGGUCACAAGAUCUUCAAUGUAAUCAAUGCUUGCCAAAUGAAACACUCGCAUAAGAACACAAGAAACUAUCUACAAAGCAGAGAUUCAAACAAGCUUCGUCUUUUGUUUGAGGAGAUCGAUAGCCAGAGAGAACUGAAGAGACGCUAUCAGGAAAUUCAUAAGAGAAUCAACGAAUAAGGAAAAUCACUGGAGAGACCAUAAAAUCAAUAACACUUAUGAAUAAUCAUGCUUUAAGGGAGCGAGAGAGAUUACAUGAGCACUAGGAGAAGAUACAGAGACAAGAGCAUAUGUAGAUGUUUAAUUGGAGGAGAUAUACAAGAGAGGAGAGAUUUCAAAGUGGAGAGUCGAAGAAGUGAGCCACCAUAGUUGUGUGAGAGAGAGGAGAGAUUCGGAAUUGGAGCCGACUAAGGCCAAGCUUCUCGGCGUUGAUUUCUCAUCCGUCUUUUUUUAUCUAAGGAUUGAGAAGAAAAAUAUUGAGAAAAAGUAAAAGGGAUUAGGGUUUGGUAUUGAGAGAAGAAGAAAUAGAUAUGAAACAAUUGAGAGAAAAAUUGGCUGUGAAUUUCGAGAGUUUGGGAGAGUGAAAUAAUUUUUGCUAAGUCUUUCCUCGGAAAUGAAAUAAUUUUUCCGCCUAGAUUAAACACAUCGUUUUAACGAUACACAUGCUAUCUAAAACAAAGUUUUAGAAUCCGAAAAAACAAAGAUAGCAUU
Molecule: long non-coding RNA, 781 nt
Filed under: Brassica napus (rape)
Lineage: Eukaryota; Viridiplantae; Streptophyta; Magnoliopsida; Brassicales; Brassicaceae
Description: long non-coding RNA (BNAP_LNC009942)
Source: RNAcentral